Myodes glareolus (Bank vole) is the source of this 4578-nucleotide non-coding RNA. The record is from RefSeq and is a predicted model, not a curated record. NCBI's taxonomy places the organism in Eukaryota, Metazoa, Chordata, Mammalia, Rodentia, Cricetidae.
CAGCGAAAUGAGGCUAAGGAGGAAGCCUGGGGCUAGCCCCUGUGCGCCAGACUAGACAUUUUGGCUUCAUCCCAAGAGCAGUGGGAAGCAACAGAACAUUUGACUAGGCCCCUUGACCCUGUAUUUUGAAAAGACCUUUGCUGUAGUAUGGCUGACAGACAGGGCGAAGGGUCAAAUGAGGGGCCGGGUUCCCGGGCUGUGUAGCUGCUUAGAGAGGGAGCAGCAUCAGGGUGGUGGUGGUGGAGGAGUUCCAGGCACGUGACUGGCUUUGCAAGGUCCUGAGGUCAUGUGUUCAGUGGGUACACUCAGGAGUCUGCCCGAGGGAGCCUCAGGGCCUUGCUGGACUUUGCCUCCCGUGGCCAUCUGCCUUACUGGGAAAACAACCUAAAGGCAGAAGCUUCUUUGGGCCUCAGUUGCUGGUGCAGGAUCACCGGAGGCAGGACCGCACGUUCUGUAACAUCAUCCUGGUGAGUUCAGGAUGACGAAGACCGGCGUGGACUGCCUGGAUUCUCUCUGACCUUGGGCUCUGCCUGAAGCCCCAGAACAGACUUCUGCUCAGGAUUGGAUCCUAUCCCUGUGUUUGCCUGAACCUGUUGUUGAGAAGGUAGGAGGAGGGAAACCGGUAAAGCACUAAGUGUCUUCUGCCAUGUGCUGCCCAAGGAGAUUGAGAGAAAAACAGAAAAACAACCUGCUCCAGCCCAGCCCCAGAGCUAGACUUGUCAUUUGGGCGCGUGAAAAAAAAAACCAACUCCCAACCCCACCCAGGAGGUUCUCAGAGUUCCAGGGUUUCACUAUGUAACCUUGCCUGUCCGGGGACUCACUCUGUAGACCAGACUGGCACUCACAAAGAUCCAACUGCCUUUGCCAGGAUUAAAGGUACAUUAAGGUACCCCGUCCCUGGUGCUGAUGAAUGUGGCCGUAUUUGGAAAAGAGUUUCAACCCAUGUGAUCAAAGUCAAAAGAGGACUGGUUUUGCCAGCACGUUGGAUUCUGGGCUUGUCAUCGUCAGAACGGCAACACAGUGAACGUCUGUUGUUUAAAACCAUUUAGCUGUGGUCUUUUGUCCUGGAUGAAGAAUCCACUCUUUUGGUAACAUUUGGUUGCUUCCAGUUGUUGAGUUGUGAUCACGACACCUGCUACCAUUUUUCUGCCCCGCACGGGCUGUCUGGAACAGCAGCCUGAGGAACUUGCUCUUUUCUCCAGGGAGCUUUUGGAGCAAUCAUGGACCAAAGCCUGAAGGCUUUAGCCUUGGUAUAACCUUGGCUGUGUUGCCAGCUAACACCCGGGACACCUGUGUCCUAUUUGGGGACAUACCCUCAACUAAAAAAAGUGUUUGUUGCACAGUUGAAAUGCAAAUUUCACGGGACUUCUGGAUUUUUAUUUGCUAAAUCUGGCAUCUGUAAAGCUCUGCCCUGGGCAACUCACGCUGUGCAGAAGGAGCCCUGGGACCUUCCUUGCAUUAGGCUCUUUGUUUCCUGACUGCAGAGACUUGGGGAAGAGUCCUGGCUCCUCCUCUCUCCACUAGUACCCUGACAGUGUACAGUGGCACCAGCCUCCCCAGGACUUAGCCCAUGUCAAGAGUACCCUACCUACUCCCUGCUCCUCACCCCUGCAUGGGCAAUUCUUUUCUGACUACUCCCGGCCUGACCUCUCUCCCCUCCACUGGCCUUGCAAAGGUGGGCUUGCUUUGCCCACAGGACAGAGCUAGAUCAUGGUGCCUAGGUGUGUGAUGAGAGCCUGGGAGAGGAGGGCAGUGCUUCCCAGUCUUGCCUCGCUUCAAGAUUUGCCUGAGGGCUAGAGAUGCUACUCUCUGGGACUGAGAGUUAGCUCAGUGGUUAAGAGUCCUUGUUGUUGUGAAGGACCCAGGUUCCCUCCUCUGGUAUUCUUGUGAUGUACAGUUGUACACAGAGGCAAAACACUCGUACAUGUAAAGUAAAAAAAUAAUAAAAAUAAAUUAAUUAAUUAAAAAAUUAGAUACUACUACCCCACUCCCCACUGGGGUAGUGACUUCCACAUAUAAUCCCUGCACUGCACUAGGGAUUCUUGGGAUGCUGAGGUAGAUGAAUGGGAAUGAGCUUCAAGUCCAGUCUGGAUUACAUAGCUCCCCUGGAGCUCCAAAGUGAGACCCCGCCUCAGAAAAGCAGAAAAACAAAAACCAAAACAAUGGAAACAAAAACAAAGCAAAACAACAACAAUGACCAAAAAAACCAAGGGAGGAGGGAAAAAAAGCAUCUUCUGUUUGGCAUCAGACAUCUCCAGGGGAGGAGUCAUUGUCUGUGAAGACCCCUGCCCUCGUCUGCAAGGAAGUGUGCUCCAACUGAGUUCUGCAGCUUCCGUGGGAACCCGGCAGAAGAGAUUUUUAAAGAGAGGAGAGGGAGAUCAAGGAGAGGAGCGAGGACAAGAGGCCAAGAGCCAAAGAGGAAGGGAGAGCCUGCUGGAGUUGAGCUGGAAUGCAGAAAGCUCGGAGAAGAAAGGCCUGGACAGGCUGGGGAAAGCCGAGGCCACAUCUGCUUGGGACUUGCUGGCUGAUUUAAAAUGCAGCCUAAAAAGCAACAAGAAUGGCCUUGGAGCAAGGGACCCACUGAGUCCUUUUCAAAGGUGAGCCUGGGCUUGCCUCUUUUCUGUGACACUUGGCUUCUGCAAUGUCACACUGCUCCCCAUUCAGUGCCCCAACCCCCUAAUCUGGCGAAAAGCCAGGUAUACAGACAGAUCCAGCAGGGCCUUUGUGUGAAGGGUGGUGAGCGGUGGACCUUUAAUGCUCUGUGUGGUGCAGGGAGGGGACCACGCUUGCGAGGAGUAGGUGCAGGCAUUCCGGGCGGAGCUAGAACGUUUCCAUAUUAGACAAGUAACUCCAGCGAAUAUUGUUUUUGUUAUCGAGACGAUGCUAUAAAUGUUAGAGCAUGUGGUAGGCAUACCGCACGUCCUCCUGUGAGCUCCCUCGAGUGUGGGCUGGACCUAGUGACUUGCUUCCUAAUGAAUAAAACAUGGCAGAAAUGAGAGAUGUCCUUUUCGAGAUUAGACCCUGGAAAACUGGGACUCUCUUCUUGCUCUUAGUCACCCCCCCCCCAGCCUUCUCCUCUAUGUGCUGUGAUCAAGCCAGCUGCCGUGUGAGGGUCACCCACGGAGAGGCCAGUGUGCCAAAGAUCGGAGGUGGUGAGAAAAUGGAGGCCCUCCGUCCCACGUCCCACGAGGAGCUGGAUCGUGCCAACGACCGCGUGUGAGAUCUUGGAGGUGGAUCUUUCCAUGGUGGAACUGAGGGACACCGUGACUGCACUUGCAGAUGCCACACCUAUGUUGUCACCCGGGGCACCUAGUCGCUGAGAUGGCUGAAGUGCUCGUUUAGGACUCUAGCUUUUGGGGGGACUUAAUUACAUAGCAGUAGGCAACUAACUAACGCAAGUGUGAAUUGGGAAAGGCCAGCCAUACCUGUUCUAUUCUCCCAUAUAAAUAUCCUUUUCUUAAAAAAAGAAAGAAAGAAAGAAAGAAAGAAAAAGAAAAAACACAUAUUGUGUCUGUUGUGGAUGCCAGAGGGCAAGCAUUGUCUUCAGGAAUGCUGUCUUGUGCUCAGAAGGUAAGAAGAUGGACAUUCACUUCCAGACAAUCCAGCAAGUACCAGCUGUGUACCUCUGAAGAGGCAAUGGUGACCAAGACAGGACUAUUUCUGCCCUUCUCCGUUAGACAGCUAAGUGCAUCAUUGCAACCCAGCGCCUUGUGGAGACCCUGCCGCUGAUCCAUGACAAUGCGGGUACCCUGGCUCCUCCCCAGCUCUGGGGCAGAGGCACCGGAUGGCGAACCCUCAUAAGGUUUUAGAAGGAAAUAAGGCCGUUUCUGAGCUUCUUCCAGCGUAAGCCAGGCUUUGGCCACGACACCCACAUUUUCUCGCAACUUUGAUGUUUUCUGAUCUUGAUUCGCUCAUCCUGAGGAAUUCUUUUGCUUCCAUCCUUCCGUCACGCUCCACCCGCUUCCCUGAAGAAAUGGAAACCAGAUUGCGUGGCUUAGGCAGGAAAACACUGGCACACUCUUGCAGACCAUGGAUGUGUGUCUCUGUUCUCUCACCCCUGCCCUGCUGGGAACCUUCAGCUGCCCAGGCCAGAAGUGACGGGUGAGGGGCGAGGGCUGAACAGAGGCCUUUCAAGGGCCACAGUGGGGAGGUCACUGAGCUUGUCAGACCGUGUUUCUAGUUCAGCAAAGUACACACUCACCUGACCUCAGUGGUGACAUGGUGGGCAUAUGAAAAGCGUUCACUGCCCUGAAGAGGACCCAGGAAGCUGCCAGAAAAAAAGAAACUGAAAGGCAAUUACAAUGAAGUUGUUUAAUGUGGGUCAGACACUUGUACUGCAGGGGUGAAGGUGUGACCAGAACACUGACUACUUGCCCCCCUUUUUCUUUUCUUUUCAUUUUGGUUUUUCGAGACAGAAUUUCCCUGUAUCUGUGGAGCCUGUCCUGGAACUUGCUUUGUAGACCAGGCUGGUCUCGAACUCACAGAGAUCUGCCUGUCUCUACCCCCCGACUGCUGGGAUUAAAGGAGUGCACCACUAUGGGCCCUGCUUGACUUGGUCUUCCUGUUCACAACAGUUUG